CCGCCGGCGACCGGCGCACGGGUGAGUAACACGUAUGCAACCUGGCCGUGACAGAUGGAUAACCGGGAGAAAUCCCGCCUAAUACAACAUAAUGCCGGGAGGGGACAUCCCCUGCCGGCCAAAGGGGGCGACCCCGGUCACGGAUGGGCAUGCGGCGCAUUAGGUAGUUGGUGGGGCAACGGCCCACCAAGCCGACGAUGCGUAGGGGUUCUGAGAGGAAGGUCCCCCACAUUGGAACUGAGACGCGGUCCAAACUCCUACGGAAGGCAGCAG
This 273-nucleotide ribosomal RNA is filed under the name uncultured bacterium. RNAcentral's name for it is "partial 16S ribosomal RNA". It matches the Rfam family "Bacterial small subunit ribosomal RNA", at positions 85 to 354 of the family's 1533-position model. The record is from RNAcentral.